GAUGAACGCUGGCGGCGUGCUUAACACAUGCAAGUCGAACGGAAAGGCCCACGUUUGCUUGGGUAUUCGAGUGGCGAACGGGUGAGUAACACGUGGGUGAUCUGCCCUGUACUUCGGGAUAAGCCUUGGAAACUGGGUCUAAUACCGGUUAGGACCACUUCUUGGAUGUUGUGGUGGAAAGUUUUUUCGGUGUGGGAUGAGCUCGCGGGCUAUCGGCUUGUUGGUGGGGUCAUGGCGUAGCGAGGCGUCGACGGGUAGCCGGCCUGAGAGGGUGUACGGCCACAUUGGGACAGAGAUACGGCCCAGACUCCUGCGGGAGGCAGCAGUGGGGAAUAGUGCACAAGGGGCGCAAGCCUGAUGCAGCGACGCCGCGUGGGGGAUGAGGGCCUUCGGGUUGUAAACGCCUUUCGCUAGGGACGAAGCGGUUUGUGACGGUACCUGGAGAAGAAGCACCGGCUAACUACGUG
This 467-nucleotide ribosomal RNA is filed under the name uncultured bacterium. RNAcentral describes it as "partial 16S ribosomal RNA". It matches the Rfam family "Bacterial small subunit ribosomal RNA", at positions 28 to 507 of the family's 1533-position model. The record is from RNAcentral.